UUUUUUUUUUUUUUUUUUUCCGAGACAGAGUCUCGCUCUGUCACCCAGGCUGGAGUGCAGUGGCACAAUUGGAGGUCAGCUUUCAUGCAAUGCUUAUCGAAUGCAUUUCAGGGGAGUCCCGGCUUGGCUAACUUGUUCCCAGCCUUCAGUUUGUUUGUUUGCUUUUUUGAGACAGGGUCUCACUGUUGUCCAGGCUGGAAGUGCAGUGGUGUGAUCUUGGCUCAUUGCAGUCUUUGCCUCCAAAUCCAGAAUCAAGUGAUUCUCCUGCCUCAGCCUCCUGAGUAGCUGGGACUCCAGGCGCCUGCCACCAUGCCUGGCCAAAUUUUAUAGAGAUGGGGUUUCACCACGUUGGCCAGGCUGGUCUCGAACUCCUGGCCUCAAGCGAUCCGCCCGUCUCAGCCUCCCAAAGUGCUGGGAUUACAGGUGCAAGGCACUGUGCCCGGCCCCAAACUGUAGUUUCUUAAGGUGUUGUAUUUUUAGUUCCCAAUCCACUUCAGAUUCCAAAUAUUUGUGGUUCCCAGGGAGCGGGCUGUCAUGCUUUGUGGCUUGGCAGCCCGGAGGCAGCAUUCUCACCUGUCAGCAUUCUAGAAGUAAAUGAAAGACUGAGGAGUAGGCUCCACGGUGGCUGAGUUUGGGCUAAAGGAAGUGUCGUUUAUUCUGUGCCAUGGGAACAAGACCAGCAAGCCAUGCCACGCAUCUGAGCCCACGGGGCCACAGAAGCCUCGAGGCUCUGCAGGGGGGCUGCCCACCGGGUUCAUGUCUCCCCAGCCACGGGACUCCACCCUCAGCUUACUCCUGAGAGUCCUGCCCCAUUAAGUGAAGAAAACACGAGCAUUUCACAAGAGUUCAUCACGUUCCCCAAUUAACAACCACAAAAUCUGUUGGGACUACAUGCAUAUAGUAUGGGUAAAACCGAAAAAAACCAAAAACUUAAAAGUGAGAAAUGCAUAAAAAACAAGACACAAAGACACUGAAUCAUCUAGAUUUACUUUCUUUUUCUUUCUUUUUUUUUUUUUUUUUUUGAGACGGAGUCGAUCUUGUCACCCAGGCUGGAGUGCAGUGGUGCAAUCUCAGCUCUCUGCAACUUCCACCUCCCGGAUUCAGGCAAUUCUCCUGCCUCAGCCUCCUGAGUAGCUGAGAUUAUAGGCGGCCACCACCAUGCCCACCUACUUUUUUUUUUUUUUU
This 1185-nucleotide long non-coding RNA is filed under the name Macaca fascicularis (crab-eating macaque). RNAcentral's name for it is "lncRNA (ENSMFAG00000053216.1)". The record is from RNAcentral. Lineage: Eukaryota; Metazoa; Chordata; Mammalia; Primates; Cercopithecidae.